GGAAGACCUAUAUGCUGAACAAAAUAAAAUUGAGCAAUUAGCUAAGAGACUCUGCUGGAAAAAGUUUGUUGAGAAGGAUGAUAUCGCAAUAUGGCAGAAGCCGUUCAAUCAUAUGAAGUGUACAGAAUUUCGAAACAGAAACAAAAAUCCACCAAUGUGUCCUACCCAAGAUCCCGAUAAAGCCUGGUAUACAAAGAUUGAGACUUGCUUAACUCCCUUGCCAGAAGUUGCAAGUGAAGAAGACCUGGCUGGUGGACAAUUGGAAAAGUGGCCUAAAAGAUUAAACGCAAUACCACCGAGGAUAAGCAGG
RNAcentral lists this unclassified non-coding RNA (310 nucleotides) under Hevea brasiliensis (rubber tree). Lineage: Eukaryota; Viridiplantae; Streptophyta; Magnoliopsida; Malpighiales; Euphorbiaceae. The record is from RNAcentral.